CCUACGGGUGGCUGCAGUGGGGAAUAUUGGACAAUGGGGGCAACCCUGAUCCAGCAAUGCCGCGUGAGUGAUGAAGGCCUUAGGGUUGUAAAGCUCUUUUACCAGGGAUGAUAAUGACAGUACCUGGAGAAUAAGCUCCGGCUAACUCCGUGCCAGCAGCCGCGGUAAUACGGAGGGAGCUAGCGUUGUUCGGAAUUACUGGGCGUAAAGCGCACGUAGGCGGUUACUCAAGUCAGAGGUGAAAGCCCGGGGCUCAACCCCGGAACUGCCUUUGAAACUAGGUGGCUAGAAUCUUGGAGAGGCGAGUGGAAUUCCGAGUGUAGAGGUGAAAUUCGUAGAUAUUCGGAAGAACACCAGUGGCGAAGGCGACUCGCUGGACAAGUAUUGACGCUGAGGUGCGAAAGCGUGGGGAGCAAACAGGAUUAGAUACCCUAGUAGUC
Molecule: ribosomal RNA, 440 nt
Filed under: uncultured Novosphingobium sp.
Lineage: Bacteria; Pseudomonadati; Pseudomonadota; Alphaproteobacteria; Sphingomonadales; Sphingomonadaceae
Description: bacterial SSU rRNA
Rfam family: Bacterial small subunit ribosomal RNA
Source: RNAcentral